UCAUUCCUUUUUAUGUUUGUUUUUGCUUUCAUUUGAAUUGUCACUAUCCUAUGCUCUUGCCUGACAGACCCUGAGAGCCUACUGACCACAGCAGCUCCUGUUACCACGGCUGCCGUUUCUGCUCUCAAUGCUACUGCUCAUUGAUCCCAGGGAGGAAAAUUCUGGUGCAUCACUUAGUAUUUAUUUCAGAUUUCAACCAAAACAACAUAUUGCAAGAUUGAAUGCAGAAGUAGAUGUGAGAACUCAUUCUAUUAAGCCAAGCGUAAAUGUUUAAAAAUGUAAAAUAAUACCACUCUUCUGAUAUGUUUUGGGAGAAAAUAUGUUUGUGGAAAAUAUACCUAUCAAAGAAAUAUCAGAAACCUUCCAAACUGAAGGACAUGUGUAUCCAGAUUAAAAUGACCUUCCAAAUGCUUAACAUAGUAAACAAAAAACAGGAGGAAAAGGAGGGGAGAAAAGAAAAAAAGAAGACUCACACAAGGCCGUGUUACGACAUUUCAUCAUACCAUAGAUAAAUCAGAUCCUGAAAGAUUUCAGAAAGGAAUAUGAGAUCACACAUAAAGGAACAGGAAUCAAAAUGACAUUACCCUUCUCAACAACACUGGAAGCUCCAAGAGAGUGCAGCAAUGCUUUCAUCCUCAGAGAAAAUAAUUAUCAAUACAAAAUAAUAUUCCCAGCUAAGCUAUCAAUCAUGAGGGUAGAAGAAAGGCAUUUUUAGCCAUUGCGUGGGAGUGCUAUAAUAAUGGUCCCAGUGAACCACACCUCCCUGUAUCCGCACCACUUUGCAAUGAGAAAUUUGCUGUUUCUCCUAGUGAGAGAGGGAGUCUAUUUCUUUACCCUUGGGCCUGGGCUGGCCUGGUGACUUGUUUUGACCAAUACAUGGAAGAAGUGACAUUAUGUGAGUUCUGCAGCUGAAGCUUUAAGAGGCCUUGAAGUUUCUCCUCACCUUCUUGGAACCUUGAGACCACCAUGCUGUGAGAAGCCUGGGCAUAUCUACUGGAGGCCGAGGGGCCACAUGACACGUCUAAAACUCAUACGUCAAGAUAUGGUAAUAUAAUGUGAAAUUCCUAGAGCAGCUUAAUGCUAGUCUCUAUUUGGCUACCUUUUUCUUUA
RNAcentral lists this long non-coding RNA (1110 nucleotides) under Homo sapiens (human). RNAcentral's name for it is "non-protein coding SDCBP2-AS1:11". The record is from RNAcentral. Lineage: Eukaryota; Metazoa; Chordata; Mammalia; Primates; Hominidae.